This 330-nucleotide ribosomal RNA is filed under the name uncultured bacterium. RNAcentral describes it as "bacterial SSU rRNA". It matches the Rfam family "Bacterial small subunit ribosomal RNA", at positions 568 to 898 of the family's 1533-position model. The record is from RNAcentral.
UGUGUAGGCGGCUCCUUAAGUUUGGUGUGAAAUCUCCCGGCUCAACUGGGAGGGUGCGCCGAAUACUGAAGGGCUAGAGUGCGGGAGAGGAGAGUGGAAUUCCUGGUGUAGCGGUGAAAUGCGUAGAUAUCAGGAGGAACACCGGUGGUGUAGACGGCUCUCUGGACCGUAACUGACGCUGAGACACGAAAGCGUGGGUAGCAAACAGGAUUAGAUACCCUGGUAGUCCACGCCCUAAACGAUGCAUAUUUGGUGUGGGUCAUUCAGUUGAUCUGUGCCGGAGCUAACGCGUUAAAUAUGCCGCCUGGGGAGUACAGUCGCAAGGCUGAA